Molecule: ribosomal RNA, 549 nt
Filed under: uncultured bacterium
Lineage: Bacteria
Description: bacterial SSU rRNA
Rfam family: Bacterial small subunit ribosomal RNA
Source: RNAcentral
UAGGGAAUCUUCCGCAAUGGGCGAAAGCCUGACGGAGCAACGCCGCGUGAGUGAUGAAGGUCUUCGAAUCGUAAAACUCUGUUAUCAAGGAAGAACAAAUGUGUAAGUAACUGUGCACAUCUUGACGGUACCUGAUCAGAAAGCCACGGCUAACUACGUGCCAGCAGCCGCGGUAAUACGUAGGUGGCAAGCGUUAUCCGGAAUUAUUGGGCGUAAAGCGCGCGUAGGCGGUUUUUAAGUCUGAUGUGAAAGCCCACGGCUCAACCGUGGAGGGUCAUUGGAAACUGGAAAACUUGAGUGCAGAAGAGGAAAGUGGAAUUCCAUGUGUAGCGGUGAAAUGCGCAGAGAUAUGGAGGAACACCAGUGGCGAAGGCGACUUUCUGGUCUGUAACUGACGCUGAUGUGCGAAAGCGUGGGGAUCAAACAGGAUUAGAUACCCUGGUAGUCCACGCCGUAAACGAUGAGUGCUAAGUGUUAGGGGGUUUCCGCCCCUUAGUGCUGCAGCUAACGCAUUAAGCACUCCGCCUGGGGAGUACGACCGCAAGGUUG